GCGGGUGUAGUUUAGUGGUAAAAUCCCAGCUUCCCAAGCUGAUGUCGCGAGUUCGAUUCUCGUCACCCGCUUCA
RNAcentral lists this transfer RNA (74 nucleotides) under Lactobacillus sp. Its description in RNAcentral is "tRNA-Gly". It matches the Rfam family "tRNA". From Rfam's summary of the family: Transfer RNA (tRNA) molecules are approximately 80 nucleotides in length. Their secondary structure includes four short double-helical elements and three loops (D, anti-codon, and T loops). Lineage: Bacteria; Bacillati; Bacillota; Bacilli; Lactobacillales; Lactobacillaceae. RNAcentral also lists the same sequence under 4 other names. The record is from RNAcentral.